Molecule: ribosomal RNA, 271 nt
Filed under: uncultured bacterium
Lineage: Bacteria
Description: partial 16S ribosomal RNA
Rfam family: Bacterial small subunit ribosomal RNA
Source: RNAcentral
GACGAACCUGACAAACGUUAUUCGGAAUUACUGGGCUUAAAGGGUGCGUAGGCGGCGUAGCAAGUUGGGUGUGAAAUCCCUCGGCUCAACCGAGGAACUGCGCUCAAUACUGCUAUGCUCGAGGGAGACAGAGGUGAGCGGAACUUAGGGUGGAGCGGUGAAAUGCGUUGAUAUCCUAAGGAACACCGGUAGCGAAAGCGGCUCACUGGGUCUUUUCUGACGCUGAGGCACGAAAGCUAGGGUAGCGAACGGGAUUAGAAACCCUAGUAGU